Fukomys damarensis (Damara mole-rat) is the source of this 2156-nucleotide RNA transcript. It is a transcript of the gene named CEA cell adhesion molecule 16, tectorial membrane component, with no coding region annotated. The record is from RefSeq and is a predicted model, not a curated record. Lineage: Eukaryota; Metazoa; Chordata; Mammalia; Rodentia; Bathyergidae. The transcript has 7 exons.
ACGGAGCCGGGCACCAACCAGGAAGGGCCUCCGAGCACCGGGCACCAGCGUCCCCAUCCCUGAGGCCCGGCCUGCGCUGGAAGAUGGCGCCAAAGGGGUGCAGCUGGCUUGUCCUCAGUGCCGCGCUCCUGAGUGCCGGCGCUGAGCUGUCCAUCACUCCUGAGCCCGCCCGGCUGGCCGCAGGGGACAGUGUCACUCUGAGGGUCCGUGGGCUCUCGGGGGAAGAGCUGGCCUACAGCUGGUACGCAGGCCCCGCGCUCAGCCUGUCCUACCUGGUGGCCAGCUACAUCGUGAGCACAGGCGACGAGAUCCCCGGUCCAGCCCACACGGGGCGGGAGGCCGUGCGCCCCGACGGCAGCCUGGACAUCCAGGGCCUCCUGCCCAGCCACUCGGGCACCUACAUCCUGCAGACCCUCAACAGACAGCUGCAGACCGAGGUGGGCUACGGACACAUGCAGGUCUAUGAGAUCCUGGCCCAGCCCGCGGUCCUGGCCAACGCCACGGAGCUGGUGGAGCGGCGCGACCCCCUGCGCCUGCUGUGCACCAGCCCCAGCCCCGCCGAGGUCCGCUGGUUCUUCAACGGCGACGCUCUGCCGGUCGCCGUCCGCCUCGGCCUGUCCCCAGACGGCCGCAUGCUCACCCGGCACGGCGUCCGCAGGGAGGAGGCCGGCGCCUAUCAGUGCGAGGUGCGGAAUCCACUCAGUGUGAGCCGCAGCGAGCCCCUCAACCUGACCGUGUACUUCGGCCCGGAGCGCGUGGCCAUCGUCCAGGACUCCACCACCCUCACCGGCUGCACCAUCAAAGUUGACUUCAACACGUCCCUCACCCUGUGGUGCGUGUCCCGCUCGUGCCCGGAGCCCGAGUACGUGUGGGCCUUCAAUGGGCGAGCCCUGGACAACGGCCGGGACCAUCUCAGCAUCAGCGGCAUGGCGGCCGCCCAGGAGGGCGCAUACACGUGCAUUGCUAAGAACCCCAAGACCCUGCUGUCUGGCUCUGCCUCGGUGGUGGUCAAGCUCUCCGCGGCAGCCGUCUCCAUGAUGAUUGUGCCGGUGCCGACCAAGCCCACAGAGGGCCAGGACGUGACCCUGACGGUCCAGGGCUACCCCAAGGACCUGCUGGUCUACGCCUGGUACCGUGGGCCGGCCUCCGAGCCCAACCGGCUGCUGAGCCAGCUGCCGUCCGGGAACUGGAUCGCGGGCCCGGCGCACACGGGCCGGGAGGUGGGCUUCUCCAACUGCUCGCUGCUGGUGCAGAAGCUGAACCUCACGGAUGCCGGCCGCUACGUGCUCAAGACCGUCACGCUGCAGGGCAAGACCGACACGCUGGAGCUCGAGCUGCAGGUGGCCCCUCCCUCCCUCGCAUGACGACCAGCGCUAUCCUCCUGACCCUGAACCCAGCACAGGCUGAGCACCGGGGCGGCCCUGGAGUAGCAGCGAGACCACUGCUGAGGCCUCCGGAGAGAAGAGCAGUUCCUGUCACUCCCCCCUCGGCCUCCAGCAGGACUCGGCUGAAGCCCGGCCCCUGUCUCCACCUAGAGUUAGAGCCCUGGAGCCCUGCUCCCUCCUGUCACAGAGACGCGGGCAUAAACGUCCUGGUCAGCGCACCUGUGUGGCCUCUCCUUCUGCACCGCCCGCCCACCGUCCUGGCGCAUGCGCGCCUGGUCUCCGUGCCCGCCCACGCUCGGGGCGUCCUGGGGCACCCCAGGUUCUACGCAAGGGUCCUGAUCCCCAGGGCACCAAGCAGCCCUGAGGCACAGCCGCUUACGCUCAGGCAGCGGCCCGUUUUCAAGUAAAGCCCGGCGACCUCAGGGUCCACCCACGUGAGUUGAGGGUGCAAGGAACAGGGUGAGGAGAGCUGGGGAGCAGGGGACACAGGCCUCUCCUCCUCUCUCCAGAGGGGCUGAGUCCGGAGGCAGAGGUCCUGGGGUCCUGGUGUCAGAAGCGGAGGGCAGAGUCCGGGCAGGGUUAGGAAGGGCCUUGGGCAGGGAUGGAGAUGCCCUUCUGGGGGUGGCCCUUGGAGCUGGAGCUGGGAUACCGGGUGGUGAAACCUCCAGAAUGAGAGAAUAAAAUUGGGAUUGUGGGCAGGUGUGGCAGCACACACCUGUAAUCCUUCACUCCAGAGGUUGAGGCGGGAGGACUGCAAGUUUGAGUCCAGCC